GGGGGGGGUGGUUCGGAGUUCUGGGCGUAAGCGCACGCAGGCGGUCGUGUAAGUUUGGGGUUACAGCUCCCGGCUCAACUGGGAGAGCGCCUUGAAGACUGCAGGACUUGAGGGCCAGAGAGGGACACAGAAUUCCGGGUGUAGUGGUGAAAUGCGUAGAUAUCCGGAGGAAUACCAAAGGCGAAGGCAGUGUCCUGGCUGGUGACUGACGCUGAGGUGCGAAAGCUAGGGGAGCGAACGGGAUUAGAUACCCCGGUAGUCCUAGCCGUAAACGAUGACCACUAGGUGUGGGAGGUAUCGACCCCUUCCGUGCCGUAGCUAACGUGAUAAGUGGUCCGCCUGGGGAGUACGGUCGCAAGAUUAAAACUCAAAGGAAUUGACGGGGACCCGCACAAGCAGCGGAGCGUGUGGUUUAAUUCGAAGCAACGCGAAGAACCUUACCAGGGUUUGACAUGGAGUUGCACCAUCCAGAGAUGGAUGUCCCUUCGGGGCGGCUCCACAGGUGCUGCAUGGCUGUCGUCAGCUCGUGCCGUGAGGUGUUGGGUUAAGUCCCGCAACGAGCGCAACCCUUGUCGUCGGUUGGAUUUCUCCGACGAGACUGCCGCGAUCAACGUGGAGGAAGGUGGGGAUGACGUCAAGUCAGCACGGCCCUUACAUCCUGGGCGACACACACGCUACAAUGGCCGGUACAGAGGGUGGCCAACCCGCGAGGGGGAGCUAAUCCCAACAAAACCGGUCUCAGUUCGGAUUGUAGGCUGCAACCCGCCUGCAUGAAGUUGGAGUUGCUAGUAACCGUGAGUCAGCACAUCACGGUGAAUACGUUCCCGGGUCUUGUACACACCGCCCGUCACACCACGAAAGUCGGCAACACCUGAAGCCGCUGGGCUAACCCAAUAGGGAGGCAGGCGUCGAGGGUGGGGUUGGUGAUUGGGGUGAAGUCGUAACAAGGUAACC
This 954-nucleotide ribosomal RNA is filed under the name uncultured bacterium. Its description in RNAcentral is "bacterial SSU rRNA". It matches the Rfam family "Bacterial small subunit ribosomal RNA", at positions 533 to 1501 of the family's 1533-position model. The record is from RNAcentral.